GAUAAAACCUAGCUAGAUAAUUAAUCCAUUACUAGUGAGACAAAGCAUCCUUAAUGCGCAAUAAAUCCCCUAUGAGACCAUUUGAAGGAAAAAGGACGGAACACUCAAUUACUCAAUUUCAGCAAUAUCUCACAAGUUUCUAGGUUGACACAGUAGAGAAGAAAGUGAAGGGCAAAGCACAGGUAAUUUCAACAAUAGAGAAUUGAGAAAUUUCGACAAUACAUACCAAAUGGAGGGGAAGACAUCUUUUUUUUUUCCUAUUAAAAAAUGACACUCUUUUACAACAGAAAAAUUUAUUACACAAUUUCAGUAAACAAAUGUCAUGAGAAAAAAAGAAAAAAAAAAAACUUAAUGCACAAUCCCCUUCGAGAGACUGUUUGAAGGAAAAGGACGGAACACAAAUACUUUCCGGCAAAAUCUACCUUCAAUUUUCUGACAGAAGACCAUCGGUAAAACUGGAACCUCUGAUAAUAAAUUAAUUGGCGACAAAUCAAAUUGAGCAUAUCUGUUUCAAAAAAAAAAAA
Cicer arietinum (chickpea) is the source of this 524-nucleotide long non-coding RNA. RefSeq lists it as uncharacterized. The record is from RefSeq and is a predicted model, not a curated record. NCBI's taxonomy places the organism in Eukaryota, Viridiplantae, Streptophyta, Magnoliopsida, Fabales, Fabaceae.